UCUGGACAAAGAGGGGCCUUGGGAACCGGGCCUAAGUAGCUGCCGACUGAGUAGCCACAGAAGCGGAGGUGCCAGGAUGGUGGCCACCCCAGACCCAGGAACUUCCCGGGGGUGAAGGGCUUGAGUGACCACAGACACGUGGACCUCCCAGACCUGUGGCAUGGCCCCCCAGGGCCAGCAGGGGAAAUCCAGACCCACCCAGAGGGAAGCAGUUGCUGCAGAUGCUCAUAUUUGCUUGUAAAUGCAUCACGAAGAGGCAACCCAGAAUGAAGAAAGCAAGCAGGAGUGUUGGCUCAGUGCCUAAAGUGUCUGGGAUAAGCAAAACGCAAACAGUAGAAAAAACGAAACCUGAAAACAGCUCUUCAGCAUCUACAGGAGGCAAACUUGUAAAACCUGGAACAGCAGCAUCGUUGUCAAAGACCAAGAGCAGUGAUGACCUCUUAGCUGGAAUGGCUGGAGGGGUGACAGUGACUAAUGGUGUUAAAGGAAAGAAAAGCACCUGCCCUUCCACAGCAUCUUCAGCAUCGGCCCCUGCCAUGACCACCGUGGAGAACAAAUCCAAGAUCAGCACAGGCACAAGUUCAUCCAAGCGGAGCACUUCCAUAGGUAAUAAAGAAUCCGGUUCUACUAGAGAAAGAUUACGUGAACGUACCCGACUAAGCCAGAGCAAAAAACUACCUUCUGCGGGUCAGGGAGCUAAUGACGUGGCAUUGGCCAAGCGUUCCCGCAGCCGCACGGCUACAGAAUGUGACGUUCGCAUGAGCAAGUCUAAGUCAGACAAUCAGAUCAGUGACAAAGCUGCUUUGGAAGCCAAAGUGAAAGAUCUUCUCACAUUGGCAAAAACCAAGGAUGUGGAAAUCUUACAUUUGAGAAAUGAACUCCGAGACAUGCGUGCUCAGCUGGGCAUUAAUGAGGAUCAUUCCGAGGGUGAUGAAAAAUCUGAGGAGAAGGAAGCCAUCAUUGCUCACCAGCCAACUGACGUCGAGUCCACUUUACUGCAGUUGCAGGAACAGAAUACUGCCAUCCGGGAAGAACUCAACCAGCUAAAAAACGAAAACAGAAUGUUAAAGGACAGGUUGAACGCGCUGGGCUUUUCUCUAGAGCAGAGGUUAGACAAUUCCGAAAAACUGUUUGGUUAUCAGUCCCUGAGCCCAGAAAUCACCCCUGGCAACCAGAGUGAUGGAGGAGGUACCCUGACCUCUUCGGUGGAAGGCUCUGCCCCUGGUUCUGUGGAGGAUCUCUUGAGCCAGGAUGAAAACACUCUCAUGGACCAUCAGCACAGUAACUCUAUGGACAACCUAGACAGUGAGUGCAGUGAGGUGUACCAGCCCCUCACGUCGAGCGAUGAUGCCCUGGACGCACCAUCGUCCUCAGAGUCCGAAGGCGUUCCGAGCAUAGAGCGCUCCCGGAAGGGGAGCAGUGGCAACGCGAGUGAAGUGUCCGUUGCUUGCUUGACAGAACGGAUACAUCAGAUGGAAGAGAACCAACACAGCACAAGUGAGGAACUUCAGGCGACUCUGCAAGAGCUAGCUGAUUUACAGCAGAUAACCCAGGAACUGAACAGUGAAAAUGAAAGGCUGGGGGAAGAGAAGGUUAUUCUUAUGGAGUCUUUAUGUCAGCAGAGUGAUAAGUUGGAACACUUUAGCCGACAGAUUGAAUAUUUCCGCUCCCUUCUCGAUGAGCAUCACAUUUCUUAUGUCAUAGACGAGGAUGUGAAAAGCGGACGCUAUAUGGAAUUGGAGCAACGUUAUAUGGACCUAGCAGAAAAUGCCCGUUUUGAACGAGAGCAGCUUCUCGGUGUCCAGCAGCAUUUAAGCAAUACUUUGAAGAUGGCAGAGCAAGACAACAAGGAAGCUCAAGAAAUGAUAGGGGCGCUCAAAGAACGCAAUCACCAUAUGGAGCGAAUUAUUGAGUCUGAGCAGAAGGGUAAAGCAGCCUUGGCAGCCACAUUAGAGGAGUACAAAGCCACAGUGGCCAGUGAUCAGAUAGAGAUGAACCGCCUGAAGGCUCAGCUGGAGAAUGAAAAGCAGAAAGUGGCGGAGCUGUAUUCCAUCCAUAACUCUGGAGACAAAUCUGAUAUUCAGGAUCUCCUGGAGAGUGUCAGGCUGGACAAAGAAAAAGCAGAGACUCUGGCUAGUAGCCUGCAGGAAGACCUAGCUCACACCCGAAAUGAUGUCAAUCGAUUGCAGGACACCAUUGCAAAGGUAGAAGAUGAAUACCGAGCCUUCCAAGAAGAAGCUAAGAAACAAAUAGAAGAAUUGAAUAUGACAUUAGAGAAACUAAGAUCGGAGCUAGAAGAAAAAGAGACAGAGAGGAGCGACAUGAAAGAAACCAUCUUUGAACUUGAAGAUGAAGUAGAACAACACCGAGCCGUGAAACUUCAUGACAACCUCAUUAUUUCUGAUUUAGAGAAUACGGUUAAAAAACUCCAGGAUCAAAAACAUGACAUGGAAAGAGAAAUCAAGACACUCCACAGGAGACUUCGGGAAGAAUCUGCGGAGUGGCGGCAGUUUCAGGCUGAUCUCCAGACUGCUGUGGUCAUUGCCAAUGAUAUUAAAUCUGAAGCCCAAGAGGAGAUUGGCGAUCUGAAGCGUCGGUUACAUGAGGCUCAAGAAAAAAAUGAGAAACUCACCAAAGAAUUGGAGGAAAUAAAGUCACGCAAGCAAGAGGAGGAGCGAGGCCGGGUGUACAACUACAUGAAUGCUGUGGAGAGAGACUUGGCAGCCUUAAGGCAAGGGAUGGGACUGAGUAGAAGGUCCUCAACUUCCUCCGAGCCAACCCCUACGGUGAAAACCCUCAUCAAGUCCUUUGACAGUGCAUCGCAAGUACCAAACCCCACUGCAGCCGCGAUUCCUCGCACACCUUUGAGUCCAAGUCCUAUGAAAACUCCUCCUGCCGCAGCUGUCUCGCCUAUGCAGAGACAUUCCAUAAGUGGACCAAUCUCUACAUCCAAACCCCUGACAGCGCUGUCAGAUAAGAGACCAAACUAUGGAGAGAUCCCUGUUCAAGAGCAUCUAUUAAGAACAUCUUCAACCAGCCGACCUGCUUCUCUGCCGAGAGUACCUGCCAUGGAAAGUGCCAAGACCAUCUCAGUGUCUCGACGAAGUAGUGAAGAGAUGAAACGAGACAUCUCUGCACCUGAGGGAGCGUCGCCGGCCUCUCUUAUGGCUAUGGGAACCACGUCUCCACAGCUUUCCCUGUCCUCCUCUCCCACGGCAUCUGUUACCCCCACCACCCGAAGUCGGAUAAGGGAAGAAAGGAAGGACCCUCUGUCAGCAUUGGCGAGAGAAUAUGGAGGUUCAAAGAGGAAUGCCUUGCUGAAGUGGUGUCAGAAGAAAACAGAAGGCUACCAGGUCUGCCUCUGCCAGUACCGCACUAUGUUCAUCGCUGGAGCUGUGCAAAUAUUGACAUUACAAACUUCAGCAGCAGCUGGAAUGACGGACUGGCCUUUUGCGCUCUCCUGCAUACGUACCUUCCGGCCCACAUUCCGUAUCAAGAGCUGAACAGCCAAGAUAAGCGAAGGAACUUCACCCUGGCCUUCCAGGCGGCCGAGAGCGUUGGCAUCAAAUCCACACUGGACAUUAAUGAGAUGGUGCGGACUGAGCGGCCUGAUUGGCAGAGCGUGAUGCUCUACGUGACCGCAAUCUACAAGUACUUCGAAACCUGAGCACACCGGAAGGACUCUCCCCGUUACCAAGUGACACCAGCGCCAUUAGCUACGCACCCCGUAAAGCUUUCAGCGACUCUCUGGGCCGCCCUGCAGCGUGUGAGCCUUCAGCCGGGGCUUCUGAGUCAGGAGAACUCGGGCCUCCAUGGCCCCCGGCUCGCGGCCGGCUCCGCGCACACGACCCGUCCGGCCAAGGUCGGCGUGGGCUCCACGCACGGCGCACACGCUGUUUGCUGCCAGAGUUUUUUCUGAAGAGAAUAUUGAACUGCAUUAGUGCCGUGGGGUGUAAAAACCAGCUCAUGCGCAGCUCAAGUCGGGGAAGGGGCUGAAACUCUGGGGGCAGCUCAUGGGGGGUUAGUGAAAGCUUCAGCCACAGUGCUUUUUGACUACUCGCCGGUGCGGCUUCUGGCACCCGUGAGAACCAGGCCGGGGACUCGGUGCCUGACAGAGGUGCCUGGAGAGCAGGCUGUGGCCCUGGAUGUGGAGGGCCAUGGAGUGCAUCACCAUGGCAGUGGGGCGGCCACUGAUUGCACGUGGCAGGGCUGGCCUGGCCUGCGUGAUUUAGGUGUUUACAACUUGAGCUAACAGAUGAUCGUGACUCGAGGUUCCGGCUGGUGGCGCCCGCCGCUGCUGAAGGGUUGGUUUUGCGCCUGGGCCCCCGUCGAGCAGAGGCAGCCCCCUGGCCUCGCCGCUGCCAACCUGUCCUUUAGCCUGGAAGGGGCUUGGGAACCCAGCUCUGACUUUAGGUUUCUGGACAAAAGAAUUGGUCAAAAGGAGUUCUAGUUAAAAAAAAUUUUUUUUCCUUAAGAGCAAUAUUGGGGGAAGAUACCUCCUGUUGUGUUAGUACCAAAGUUAAAUUGUCUUAGUAAACAUAGAGAUAAAACACAAAAUCUGGACGCGAGCAUGGUGAAAGCCAGAAAUGAAGUCAGAAGUAGCAGGAGAAAAAGCCGAACAGCUGGAGGGAGCCCAGCCGGGUAAUUUAAAGUCACUGAGUCACUCAGAUGAAAUCCUCCUGGGCAAGAAUUUAAGGAAGUGCCUUCAGUCUCCUUGCACGGGUACACCGGAGAGAGGGUCUUGGAGGCCGCUGUGACCACAGCCAGAGCAGAUGGUGUCAGGGCUGGUGGCCUGCAGCCCCAUGAUGGAGUUGGUCCCUUGCCACGCACGCCAAAUGACAGGCAGCCGCACCAGCACCCCUUCCAUGCGGUGGAAUCGAAGCCUUAUGAGGGGUUCUGUUGAGGCGACUCUCAGGCUGGGACCCAGCCCUUCUUGGAAAUAGGGAUCCCACAUCUCAUGCACCUAACACAGUAGCUGUUGGUUUGAACAGUGUCGAGACCUGUUGCUUCUAGAAUACAACUGUGUUUGGUGCCUGCAAAGUAGCACGAGGAAGAGUUGCCACCAGUGGGAGCAGGAUUGCUGCCCCAGCCACAGGAUGCGAAGAAGGCUGCCCAGCCAGCACGUGGGCCCGGGGGUUCUGCGUUCAUGCGUGAUGUUCUAGACUAGGAGUAUGACGUGUCUGUAGCCUAGGAAAGAACGUGGUUAUUGUGCAGUGGGCUGUGUGUGUGUGUGUGUGUGUGUGUGUGGCCUGCUGGCCCACGGUCACCAGCUGGCUGGUAAGUGCCCGUCAACCCUGCCCAGAUGCCCUAACCUGGCAGCCCUGGCUGCCGCCCCAGCUGGAGGCUUUUUGUGAAAUGCCUGUUUUCAGCUAAGGAAGGUGAGGCUCAGUGAGCAGAAUCCAGCCCCAGAGCGCACCAGAAGACCCUGGCGGUUACCUGUCCCCAUCCUCCCUGACCAGGUUCCAUUCUGGCUUCUGUUGUUCUGUGGACAGGUGCCCUGUGCUGUCAGAUGAGGGACUGUUAGGUGAGAAUUACACUUUUUUAAAUGUCUCUCCACUCGGUCUUCCUGAGUCCCACUUUCGCUCUCAUUUGCCCUCAUGGAAGCCUGUGCUCUUGUCUGGACCCAGUGUGUCUGACUGUGGCCAUGUUUUUAUUUAUUAUGGUUGGGGGGUGCUUUUUUGUCCGAUGAAGACGACUUUCCUGGGUCGGCAGUUCACACAUUGGUCCCUUCCUAGCCAAGUGAGCCAGCUGUGGCAGCUCAUGCUGGGGGGCCUGGGGCUGUGCCCACAAGGCUGUCAUUGGGGUCAGUGACUGGAAGGGGUGGCCGCAGGAAGUGCCGGGACCAGGCCCAGCCUGUUUAAGGGCCCAUCUCUGCCUCCCUGACAGAGGCUGUGCAGGGGUGCCCAGCCGGGCCGCCUACAUUUGCAUGUGGGUCCACAGGCGAGAAGAUUCUAGAAGCAUGACUUUUCUUUUUCUAAUAGGAUCUUUUUAUAACACUGUUGGCUUUAUGGGUUAAUUCUAGGUGGUCAUAUAUACCUAAAAGUGCUACUGUGAGGUGCUUUUGGUCCAGUGACCCUUGACGUGAAGCCUCCAGGAAGUCAUUUUGCCUCUUCUCCCUUCAAGCACAAGCUUUCCUGCAAAAGGGCCAGUUACAUUUCUGUGUCUCUCAACCACGGGCUUCUGCUGACUGACAGUACUUUUUUAAAAAUUUUGUUCUAUUAAAUAUUCUCGAAUGUAUUAAAAUUGCUGAAAUGCA
RNA transcript from Mirounga angustirostris (Northern elephant seal), 6256 nucleotides. It is a transcript of the gene named sperm antigen with calponin homology and coiled-coil domains 1 like, with no coding region annotated. Lineage: Eukaryota; Metazoa; Chordata; Mammalia; Carnivora; Phocidae. The record is from RefSeq and is a predicted model, not a curated record. The transcript is spliced from 17 exons.